CGGCGAGUGAAGCGGCAAAAGCUCAAAUUUGAAAUCGGCCACCAGGUCGAGUUGUAAUUUGUAGAUUGUAUCUUGAGAGCGGAUUAAAGUCUGUUGGAACACAGCGCCUUAGAGGGUGACAGCCCCGUAAAAUCUAUUCUCAUUGUAAGAUACUUUCGAAGAGUCGAGUUGUUUGGGAAUGCAGCUCUAAGUGGGAGGUAAAUUCCUUCUAAAGCUAAAUAUUGACGAGAGACCGAUAGCGAACAAGUACUGUGAAGGAAAGAUGAAAAGCACUUUGAAAAGAGAGUGAAAAAGUACGUGAAAUUGUUAAAAGGGAAGGGUAUUGAAUCAGACUUGGUGCUGUUGUUCAACUGUGUUUCGGCAUAGUGUACUCAGCAGUACUAGGCCAAGGUGGGGUGUUUGGGAGUGAAAAAGAAGUAGGAACGUAACUCUUCGGAGUGUUAUAGCCUACUUUCAUAGCUCCUCAGGCGCCUCAGGACUGCGCUUCGGCAAGGACCUUGGCAUAAUGAUUCUAUACCGCCCGUCUUGAAACACGGACCA
Molecule: small RNA, 540 nt
Filed under: Geotrichum candidum
Lineage: Eukaryota; Fungi; Ascomycota; Dipodascomycetes; Dipodascales; Dipodascaceae
Description: eukaryotic LSU rRNA
Rfam family: Eukaryotic large subunit ribosomal RNA
Source: RNAcentral